UGAUGCCACGAAAUGACAUUAUUCAAAAGCACAGUUUGAUCUGAUA
This 46-nucleotide small nucleolar RNA is filed under the name Trypanosoma cruzi. RNAcentral's name for it is "C/D small nucleolar RNA (snoRNA), TB9C3C2, 3' partial". Lineage: Eukaryota; Euglenozoa; Kinetoplastea; Trypanosomatida; Trypanosomatidae. The record is from RNAcentral.